Drosophila sulfurigaster albostrigata is the source of this 970-nucleotide long non-coding RNA. RefSeq lists it as uncharacterized. NCBI's taxonomy places the organism in Eukaryota, Metazoa, Arthropoda, Insecta, Diptera, Drosophilidae. The transcript has 3 exons. The record is from RefSeq and is a predicted model, not a curated record.
UUGUUGUUGGUUUUGUUGGCAAGAAAAUGGUUGGCAGGUUAUGUGCCGAACCUGAGGAAAAAAUGUGUAAAAGUGCAUGUGACUAAAACCAGAAAAAAAUAGAUCUCAGUGAAGUGGUUGGCGAAGUCCGUUGCAUAUAUCGUAUUUUGCACCUAUGCCGUCCACUUAACCUACGCAAUAGAUGGUUGUCCACUUCCACGUCCUCCCAUACCAAGUGCCGUUUUCCAGAUUAGGAUUCGGCACUUAGUCAUAUUUUAUAUAAAACCCGGUAUUAAACUGAAUUUAAUACCCCAGCCGUAAUUUAUAUAAUAACCCAGUCAUAAUUUAUAUAAACCCUAGUGUGUAAAUUAUAAAAACCCAGUGGUAGAAUUUUAAAUUAAUUUAAACUGUAACUUCACCACACAUAAAUGAGGGAUUAACGGCCAACCACCCAAAGCUCCACUUCGCAGCUGUGCUGGUCAGAUCAGCUGUCUGGACAACACAAACAGAUGAGCUGUUGUUAGCUGCAGACGCUCAUUGAGCAUCAGGAGAAUUGCAGGCUGUGAUUCUACUGCCGAAAACACCUGCGUCUGUCAGCCGUGCGUUCUUCAUUUACUAGUUGUUCCGCACUGGUGGUGGCAUCGAGGCCAAAUAUAUGCGUCACCCAGGAGGAAGGCGAACAGCUGGAUAGCAGCUUAUGUUUUUUUUUUCUGUUUGUUGAUUAUUGUUAGUUUACGUUGUUCUGUCCCAAUAUGCAUUUAUAAGUGAGAGUCAAUCAUCAGUGUUGUAAGUGUAGUAUGAUGUGGCGAGAAAGUUGAAACAACAACUUUUCUUGGGCACUCAUAAUACAAGUACCACGGUAUUGUUGUAUGAAAUAACAACUGCAAUCAUUUAAGAAUGCAUAUAAGGCACCAUAUAUAGGCAAAAUAUCUUUGUACAAUUGUAUUUAAUUAUUGAAUUUAAUGUAUCUGUAUUGCCUGCAAGUAGGUAC